GCUAGGUUUGGUGGUACAUGUCUACAAUCCCUGCUACUUGGAAGAAUGUGGCAGGUGGAUCACUUGGGAGUUCUUAACUGCAGUGAGUUAAGCUGAUCAGGUGUCUGCAGUAAGUCCUGUACCAAUAUGGUGAGUCAGAGGACAGUUCCCAGGCUGCCUAAGGAGGGAUAAACCAGCACAGGAUGGAAAUGGAGCAGGUCAAAACUCUCAAGCUAAUCAGUAGUGGGCUUGGGUUGGUGAGUAGCCAUUGUACUUCCAGCCUGGGUGAAAUAGGAACCCCACAA
RNAcentral lists this signal recognition particle RNA (284 nucleotides) under Phascolarctos cinereus (koala). RNAcentral's name for it is "Metazoan signal recognition particle RNA (ENSPCIG00000015655.2)". It matches the Rfam family "Metazoan signal recognition particle RNA". From Rfam's summary of the family: The signal recognition particle (SRP) is a universally conserved ribonucleoprotein. It is involved in the co-translational targeting of proteins to membranes. The eukaryotic SRP consists of a 300-nucleotide 7S RNA and six proteins: SRPs 72, 68, 54, 19, 14, and 9. The record is from RNAcentral. Lineage: Eukaryota; Metazoa; Chordata; Mammalia; Diprotodontia; Phascolarctidae.